UUAAAACAACAAAAAUUAAAAUUUGUUCGAUUCCCAAAGAAAAAUGUUUACAUAGCUCAAGAAACCUCCAAAACAAAACCAUUUGAGCAAAACAAACCAGAAAAGAAAACACUUGAGUUCCUCUGUAUGCCAGCCUUGAAAAUCCUUCAACUCCAGUCCUAAAUCGCCAAUAGAAGCAAUAUUAUGAAGCAUUUUCGUAUAAACGAUGUUUAAAAUCGAAUAUGCAGCACAUCUCAUAGAUACACAUUGUCUGAAACAACUCAGCUAGGCCCUGUCGCCUCCUCAGCCACUAGGUCCAUAAUCGUCGGAGGGCCCUCCUCCACCAACUACAUGUCUCGCUUUCGGAGAAAUCCCUCAAUUGCUAAAAGGUGAGCCAUUCAAUUUCCACCCCUUUUGAUGUGUUGAUAUUUAAACCUCUCAAAAUGCAAAUACUAAUCGGUUGGCCUCCUAUAUAUAAGUACUAAUCUCCAAUCUGUCAACCUUUUGUGCUUUUAAUUUUGAAAUAACCACUAUGGAGUCACAUUCCAAAAGAACACGGCGAAAACUCAUGUGUUGUGCAAGCGGAAUGGCCUGAACUGCAGCUAAGGCCUCUGCCACUUCAGCAGAUAGGACAUUCCUGUUCCAAGUACUAGAGGCUCCCAUUACCAACCCUGCCUCAUCUUUUAUGACGGAUAUUGCGUUGGAAAAUUGUAGAUUCUUAUAAAAACCUACAUCAAAGUUUACUUUUAACCAUCAGGGCUCUGGAGGGCACCAUCUCACCGGAGGUCCUUACGUGCUUGUCGGGUAAGUCUUCUCCAAUAGCACCAGUUCUUUAACAUAUCCUAGCACAAAAUUACACAAAUCAUUUACUAUUUGUCUUCUGCCUUCAUGCAUCAAUUUAUUUCGCAACAUCAGAGAUUUGCCUACAUAUAUGUAGAUUUUGUCUAGUAGGCACAUAGUUAUGUAUAAUUCUCCAUGUCGUAAUUUUCAUCUUUUCUAGGACUUUUGUUUCCCAAAGGUAUUUGUAUAAAAGCCUCAUGUAGGUCUCAAUAUCUCUGUAAAGAUCAUCAUCUGACCUAGGAAAACCCCUCAAUGGCACUCGGUAGCCACUCUGGACUGUAUACAUACCAGACUCAUCAGGACACCAUCGUAUUUAUCUACUAGGCCAUUGGGCGGCAACGGGAUACAAAGAAUCCUCUUAGCCUCUUACUCAUUAAAGGUAUUCCUCACAACAAAAUCUUUCCAAGUCCCUUCUUUAGCAUCAAUCAAAUCUGCAACCAUAGAAAUACCAUCAACCUUGUCUAAUUGAAUAAUCGUUGGUUUGUCCCCAGGCAACCAAGUUGUAUCCCAUACCGGAAUAUGCUCACUAUUCCAAAGCUUCAGCUGCUACCUUUCAGCAAAAGUCCCUUUACGGCCAAGACACUCCUCCAAAUUGCCGAAAGUUGACUCUUUAACUCAAUUCUCAUGAAAUCACUAUCCGCAUAAUAUUUAGAUUGCAAAAUUGAUGCUACUAGAGAUAUAGGGUUACAAAUAAGUCUCCAACCUUGUUUAGCUAGAAGCGCAAAAUUAAAUUUGGCUAGCUGCCUAAACCCCAAUCCACCCUAUUUCUUUAAAUUACAUAAAGCCUCCCAUGUACCCCAAUGUAUUCCACGAUUUGAUUGGAAUUUUUGCCACCAUUAGCAACUAAACACGAUUUCAAUAUCCUCGCAAAAGGUUUUUGGUAAUAGAAAACAUGAAAUGACAUAAGUAGGCCUAGCUUGUAAGACCGAUUUAAUAAAAAAAUUUUACCUCCCUAUGACAACCAACGAUUGGACCACCCACUGAUUUUUCCUUUAAUUCAAUCCAAAAUAAGAUAGAAUGCAGCUCUCUUAUUACGCCCUAUUAUUAUGAGAAGGCCCAAAUACUUCUCCGGGUUUUAAGGGCAUCUCACCCUAACUCAUUUUCCACUAAAACCCGGGUCUCAUCAGCAACUCUUGAACUAAAGUAGACCAGAGACUUACUAAAGUUAAUAACCUGCCCGAAACAAGCCUCGUAUUCAGCCAAAACAUUCUUAAUAUUUGUCGCCCUAGCCACUAAUGCCUCCCUAAAUAAAAUAUUGUUGUUAGUACGAGCGACUCAACUUUGCCCAUUUUACCAACCUAUCCUGUAUCGCUAACCGGAGCAAAACAGACAACCCCUCUAUGCAAAACAAGAAUAAGAAAUGGCUUAGAGGGUCACCUUGUUUUAGCCCACAAGUGGGUGAAAUAAAACCUCUGGUUUGCCUAUUCAACACCACUAAAUAACUAACAGUCUUCACGCAUCUCAUAACCAGCUCAACCAAAUCCACUCGAAAACCUAUUUUUAACAUCAUAUCUUCAAUCAUAUGUCAUUCCACCCUAUCAUAGGCCUUACUCAUAUCCAAAUUAAGCGCAAAAAAUCCACAUCUAUUCUCAGUCCUUUUUUUUUUAAAGAAUGUAGCAACUCAAAUACGACAAUAACAUUAUAUGCUAUAAGUCUACCUGGUAUGAACGCACUCUGUGCUUCAUUAAUACAAUGAGGCAUAAUCAUUUGUAAUUGAUGGACAAUUUCCUUAGUAAUAAUUUUCAAAAUAACAUUACAUAAGCUUAUUGGACGAAAGUGUGUCAUAUUAAUAGGCAUAGAUUGUUUUGGGAUAAGCACAAUAUUUUUAUGAUUAACCUCUACCAUUGGUCCUCUAUUAUUCAUAAUAUCAAGGCAUUAAGAGCUUACCUCUAAGCUAAUAAUGUGCCAAAACUGUUGGUAGAACAAAGUCGGCAUACCAUCCUCCCUCGGUGCCUUUGUAGGAUACAUUCUCCACAUCGCCGCACCAAUCUUUUCUUCAGUGAAUCGAGAGCACAAAAAAUCAUCCAUGCCAUCAGAAACAUGAACUAGAAUUCCCAUCAAAAGCCUUGUAUUAUCGCCCCUACCCCUUGAAGUAACCAGAUCAGUGAAGUAUCUACACGCAAUUUGUUGCAUCUCCUCAUUUCCCGCACUCAUUCUACCUUCUUCAUCUUCGAGCUGUCCUACAUAAUUAAUUUUCCUACGUUGGAAAUCCAUUCUUUGAAAAAACCCAGUAUUACGAUCCUCAUUCCUCAACCAGUUAGCUCUUGCUCUCUGUUCCCAAUAGCGUUCCCUUUUUAACAAUCUCCAAAUUGAGCUAUAUUUUUGUGAUGACCAAUUACUCCAGCGCUUCAUUAGUCGGAUAUGAAUUAUUAAGCUCGUCAAGCUUCUACCUUAAUUUAUCCAAGGUCAUUCGAGACAACUGUCUAUUCUCUCAAGCCCAAUUCAUCAAACCACGCUCGACAUAUCGAAUUAUAUCCAGUAUAGACCCAUCUGAGCUAUUCCAUAAUCUUUUAACCUCUCUUUUACAAGACUCUUCAAGCAAUAAUGUUGCUUCAAAUCUAAACUCACAUGUACUUUGUUCCUGUUGAUCUACCCUCCUACAAAUGUUAAGUAAAAUUGGGCAAUGAUCAGUUAUCGAAUGCAUGCAAUGCUUGAGAGAAAAAUUAGGAAAUAAAUUAUUCCAUUUUGGAUUUGCCACUCCCCUAUCAAGCAUUUCCUGUAUGUUAUUGUGGGCCAAUCUCCAAUGUUCCCAUGUAAACUAGUGGUCUUGAUAUCCCAAAUUCGACAAAUUACAAUCUUCCAAAGCUAUCAUGAAAGCCUCAAUUCCUCGCUCAUCCCUCAGCCUCCCCUUUGUUUCUCAUAAGAAUACAUAAUCUCAUUAAAAUCCUCCAUAAUCAGCCACAGUAUCGCACUUUUAGUAGAAAAAUCUCGUAAAUGAUCCUACAAAUAGUGUCUCAAGUUCUUUACAGGAUGCCCAUAAAACCCAGUAAACCUCCAAUGAGCACUUUCUACUUCUUCAAUAUUUAUAUCAAUAUGGCUCAACGAGAAGCUCCAUUCUAAAGAUAAACCACCCACUGUACCAUCACUACUAAUAUUGAUUCCCUCCAUCAAUCCCCAGCUCCUCCAUCUUCGAACUAUGUAUCUUUGUUUUCAUGAAAAAGUUACAUCAGGAUUAAUCUCCCUCAGCACCUACCAAAGGCAAGGUCUUGCACGGGGGUUCCCCAAACCCCAGACAUUUCAGCAUAAUAUUUUCAUUGCAUUCGACUGCUCUGUCUGUAGAGCCAACCGAUAUCUCAGAAUCAUGAACAAAGACAUAUCCAUCAAUAGCUUUCCCUGAAUUCAUUCUACUAGAAACAAAAGAAAACCGAGUAUUACGAGGCCUCUUAUCCCUUUCCCCUAAUUUCUAUUGGACAAUCCUCCUCUAUCAACUCUCUAUUCGGAUCAAGAUUCUCUAAAUCCCCAACAUCAAAAUUUACUCUUCCCCCCAUUUCAAACCAAGAUUGGCCUCUACUUGCCUUAAAAAAAUUGCAUGCAUUUUAGAAUAAACCUUGUAUAUUUUUAUUCUUCCCAUCUUGUCCACUCUCUAGAGUUCUCUUUAGUUCCCUCAAUCGUGGCCCCUCCUCCUUCUCCCUUAAUCACGGACUCGAUGCCACCAUUUCUUGUUUAGGGAUCGCGUUAAUCGAUAAAUUCUAGCUAAGCAGAACCUUUCCGAAUGACCCAAUUUGCGACAUAGAAAAUAGAACGCCGAUAGUUUCUCAUAAUGGAAACACGCAUAGAGAUACCAUUUACUACCCAAAAUAAGCUUCUUAUUCCUUAUUAACGGAUUUCUCAUAUCAAUCCGAACCCGAAUUUUUAUAUAGCCUCUAUACCCUUGAUGUAAAUAUUUCACAUCAUACUCUAAAAAUCACCUUACAAAAUCUCUAAACUAUUUGGCCAUCGUCUCUGACCUCAGGCUUGUUAGGAGAUCGUGAACCUGGACCCAAAAAUCAGACCAACACAGCAACCCUAGCAUGGGAUCCUCCUAUUCCCGCAAUCUAUGAAAUACGAACAAAUGAUUAUUAAAUGUCCAAUGACUCCCUUCCAAAAGUUGAUCCAGAUUUAUCUUAUAAUAGAAUUGAAACAUAAAUCGCUUUUCCCCUAGAUCUGUUAUUGUAACACCUCCAUGCGAAUGCCAUAAAUUAACCAAGGUUGCUUGGUAUUGCACAAUGCUCACUGUUAAGGAAUCGUCGACUACACUCAGAUCCGCCCCCUCCUCUCUCGUCUCCUUGCCCAAAUCGACAUUCCAACCCACCUCCUCUCCAUUAGUAAUCAACAACGCCGUUAAGCCCUAUUUCAUUCUUGAAGCACUACCAUCUAUCAAAACCCUAAACUAGAUUCAAAACGUGCUAUUAGAAGUAGACUAAAAACGUGCUAUUAGAAGUAGACUAACAUGCUUCUUUUCAAAAUUGAAACACAACACUAAAAAUUAAGGGUUGAAAAUUUAAACAUUGAAUUUAAGUUAUAAAAUUUGUUUGUUAUACAUAUUUCUUAAAUUUAAAUAUGAAAUAUAAUUAGAUGAUUUGAUAAAUACAAUUUUAAAAAUUUUAAAAAUAAAGUAUUUAAAAGAUAAAAUAAAUAAAAUAAAAAGAAUUGAAAAUUUUCUACUAAGUGAUAGGUAGCUCUUUAUCUACUUAUCAUUUUCCACACUUUUUCAUUGAAAAAAUUCAAUCAUUUGAUUUUUAUUAUGAAUUAUCAAAUGUGUUAAAAAAUUUAAAUAACUGAAAAUAUUAAUUUUUAGCUAAUUUAUUUUUCAAUGGUUAUCAAACAAGGCUUAGGAGUUGUCUGAUAAAUUAAAAAUUUAAGUGUUGAAAAAUUAAGUACUUAAUUUUAAAUAUAAGUGUUCAAUAUAAUCAUAUUAUUUGGUAAAAGUAAAUAUUGAUUUUGUUAAUUUUAAUUUUAUUAAUAUAAUAUUUCAUAUUAUUUUGGAUAGAUUUAGAUAAAAGUUAAAUAUGAUAAUUGAAUAUCUCAAUUUUAAAAUAUAUAUAUAUAUAAAAUUUUAAUAAAGUAUAAUCAACUAAUUGAGUGUUAAUUAGUUACCUAUCUAUUUAUCCUAUACAACAUUUUUUUUAUUUAAAAUUUUAUAAUAAGUAAAAUAUUAAUAAAAACAUUAUGAAACACAUUUAAAAUAAUAAAAUGUUGAAAUGAAAAUUUGUAAUGAUUGAUUAUUUAACAAUUAUUGAUCAACACUUAAUUUCUUUUCAAUUUAUCAUAGGAUGUUUGGUGGGUUGAAUUGAACCUAUUUUGAAUUAGUGAAAACUUCUCUGAUUCUUUUAGAAAAAUACCCACCUAAUAAUGCAAGGUAAAAAUGCCAAUAAAUUGCCAGUGUUUGAAUUGUUUAGGAAUAUUAGUUUUGUGGGGAAAGGGUUUCUAUUAUUAUUAUUAUUAAAAACUAUUUUUUUGGGGAUUUGUUAUUCCUUGCAUUGCUUUUAUAUUAUUUUAAUUUGAUAGAAACGAAUAUUCUCUUCCUUUUUACUUUAUAUUUUACAAAGUUAAAUUCUUUUUAAAACAAUCAACUUGAGUGGAUUGAGUUUUAGUUCAAUUAACAUGAGUAUUAUUAUCAAUAUAGGAGGAUGUAGAUUCAAGUGUACUAAAACACAUUAUAAAAUUUGUUAACAGAAUCCCACGUGUCUUAAGUUCACUAACAGCAAUAAUAUAUCAUGUUUACGUGUCUCCUUAACGGUGAAAUUAAAUGUGGUCAAAGUAUUUGAUGAACCAUUAAGUGCUGAUGUGGCAUGGAGAGCUUAAUUAUUUUUAAUUAUUUUGCAAUAGUUCUUUUAACAUUUAAGCUUAUUUUUAAAAAAAUAAAAAAACUAUAAAAACAUAGACAAUUACAUAAAAAAUUGUAAAAUGUUAUUAUAAUUAUAUAUUACAGUUCAUCAUCGUGAACCCUGACACCAACUUUCCUCGUACUAAAACAAUUAUUAUCACGCAUCUCAAGCUGCAAAUAAUAAAUUCAUUGUCACUCAAACCUAAAAAUGUCAAUAAGUCGGGGUCGAGAUUCGGUUUCAAAAAAUUUGUCAAGUCUAAGCUUAUUUUCCAACUGGUUUAACCCGCCUAAAACACCCGUUUUAGUAUAAAAAAUAAGAUAUAUUAAAAUAUAUUUUUAGUUGAUAUUUUUAUAAAUAAAUUUAAAUUUUAAAAAUAUUAUUUUAUUAUUUAAAUUGAAUUUGAAUUGGAUUGGGUUGAGUUGAGACGAGGUGAAAAAUCAUUGUCCCUGAGUCGAGCCAAAUGAGCUACCCUACCUUUAGACAGGUCUAUUCAAACCUUUCACUUGGCAUUCUAUAUAAGUCUAAUCACCAUUACACUUCAAUCUUCUCAUUUCCUUAUUACUAAAAUCAAAGACUCCAUAGAAAAAUUUUUUUCCUUUAUUUUUAUAUAUAUUUUUAUAAAAUUUUAUUAAUUUUCUAUAAUUUUAUAGUUUUUUUUAAUAAUAUUUCAGUAGUUCUAAAAUGUUAUAAUACUUCAACAUUACUUUUUCAUAUUAUCAUAUUAUUUAAUAAAUUUAUGAUGAUUUAUUUAACAUUUUAGUCUAUUAUUUUCAACUAAAACUAUUAAACUCGUAUUCCAAAUAUAUAUUGAAAAUGCAAGAAAUUUCAUUUAUCUUUUUUAUUAUUAUUACUUAUUAGUUAUUAUGAUGUUUUUUAAUUGAAAAGAAAUAUAUCAUUAGAUUGAAAAACGAAGGAAAAAAUGGAUUGAAAAUCGAAUUAUGGUUUGACUUGAUUUGACCCAUGAAUAUGAGUAGUAAUAAGCCUCUACCUUUUGCUUCUACCAAGCUGGCACCGUGGUUGGUACUUGAUGCACAAGCAACAGUCAAGCAGUUGUUUAUAUUUAAAAUUUUAAUAAAAGAGAAAAUAUAUAAUUAUUAAAUAUUAAAUUAAAAACCACGUAAUAUUCUAUUAUUAGUACAUGUAUUUUGUAUAAGUUAUAAAUUCGGUUUUUAUAUUGUAUUAUUAGUACAUGUAGUAAUGAAAUUUUGCCAAAUAAUUUGUUAGUAGAAAUAAUUAAUGUUGUCAUCAAUGGUCUUUAGUAAGAGAUUUUUUACUCUGUAGAAGAAGACAAUAAAGUGUUAUUUGCUUAGAGUUGAUUGAUUUCUUAAGAAAUCCGAUAUCAUUCUCAGAGAGGGAUUAUGUUUCUUGAUUUUUUUUUUGAAAGUUUGAAUACUGGAAGAGGCAAUGUGUUCAUAGAGCUGACAAUGCCUCGCACAAUGCAUAGGCAAACCACUUAGCACAAGUGGAAUUCAACUUGCACCCAUGCCUCAUUUAGGACAUAGGUUCAAAUUCCAUCAAUUGCAACCUUUUUAGUUUCUUCAAUGGCUCGCUUGUUUAGACUUCUGACAAAGUAAUCCCGCUUUGUAAAUCCGUCAUCUCUUCAAAUAAUUGGGCUUUUGACAAUACCGAGAGACAAAACUCUCAUUAGGGACAAUACCAAACUCGUUAAAAGGCAUGCCGGUUUUAUGUUGACACACUUUGUGUAACGACUCAACUUUUGUCAAUGUAAAAAAAUUUGAUUUUCGGAUUGAAUUUCUUGAAUCGAGUCAUUCUGAAUAGUUGAAACGAAAGUGGUGAAAUAAAGAAAUCAUUAAGUAAAUUAUUAAGGAAAAUUUUGAAAUUAUAUUUAGAAGUUAACAAUUAUGGUACAAGGACUAACUUGUAAGGUAGCUAAAUUUAAGAGAUCUAAUAAGAGAUUAAAUCAAGGCCUUGUGAGCAAAUUGGCCACAACACAAAUUAAGUUAAUGGGAGAAUUAUGAUCUAAACCAUUAAUCUCCACUAACUAGUUUAGAUAUUAUCAUUAGCCAUUGAUUUAAGUGUUAAGAUUUAAUUAAAGUAAAGAAUAUAGGUUAGUGGUGAGAGAAAAUAAAACAUUUUUCACUUAGAAUUUUUCAUCUUCUUCCAUCGAAAUUGAGAGAAGGAAAAGAGAAAAUCAUUUUGAAAGUUCCUCCAUUGCCGAAGCUUCAACUCCAAGAGUGGGUAAGCUUUCUCUGAAUUUUUGUUUAAUUAAAUGGUGUUAAAUGAAAGUUUAGAGUUAGCUAUUAGUUUGAGUAUAAAAUUAAAAGAAACUAUACUAAAAUAACCAUGGGUAUUGAAUGCUUGAAGGAGUUGAGUAAGGGUUUUAUGUAUUCAUAACUUUCAAUUGAUAAAUUAGCUAUUAAGUGGCUACUUAAUGAUGGUUCAUGAUUUUGAUAUUUGUAUUUGUAUGUAUUUAUAUGUGUUGAAGAGAUAACUAGAGGGAGCUCUAGCAAGGAAAAAGACCAAGUCGUGAAGUGACGGCUUUUUGAAGAGUUUUCACUUGUUUUGGUCAUUUUGGAUAGGUAAGUUCACAUGGAAACUUCUAUAUUUACUUCUUGUCUGAGUGUAAUGUGAAUUGAAAUUAUGAUAUGUGGAAAUGUUUAAGUGUUAUAUGUAUAAUAGGUAAGUUAUGGGGUAUUGAAAAUGUGGUCCAAAUGGUUUUGAACUUGUCUUGCAUGUGAAUGUAUUCAAUGGUUAAAUAUAUUCUUAGAGAAGAGAACCAGAAAGUUGAUAGAUUGAUAAAGUUGGCUCACAUAAACAAGGGUUGCAAAUUUUUGAAAUCUCUCCGCUCUGGGGUUUAAAUUGUGUUUCUUUAUUUUCUUAUUUAUCACCAAAAAAUAAUAAUAAUAUUGUAAUGGCCUAAAUUCAAAAUUAUCGGAAUAGUGGUUUCGUAACAACCACAAAUUUGAUUUAAAGAGAAAUUAUUUUAAAAAAUUAUUGCAUGAAUAUUAAUAUAAUAGGAAAAUUGUAUGAAAAUAUCGAUAGAAAAAUUUUACCGAUUUAGUGGUUAGUUAGAAAAAAAUUUAUUAUUGAAGAAAUUGGGUAAAAACAAGGUAUCGAGAUCUCGAUCUCAUAAAAAUGAUUUGGAAAUAUUUUUAUAAAUAUUUAUGAAAUUUUAGUGAUUCGGUAUUAAAAUUUCGUUAGAAAAUUUUAAUGUUUGGGUAGUCAAUUAAAUGAAAAGGACUAAAUUGGAAAAUGUGUAAAAGUUACUAGAAUGAUUAAAUAGCUUAAGUGUCUAAUGAGAAAGGAUUUAAAAGAAAAUUAGACCCAAAAUUUAUUUGGGCUGGACGGCAAGGGCAUGAAAUCAGCAGGAAAAUUGAUGAUUUAAGGGCAAAAUUGGAAUAUUACAUAAUUAACUAAAUAAAAAUAGGACUAAAUAUGGAAUAUCUAGAUUUCUCUUCAUUUUUCUUCAUUCUUAUCAGCCAAAACGCCAUAGGAGGGGUUCUUUAAGUUGGUAUUUCAUAAUUUUUGCACCAAGUGAGUUAAUCCUUGCCUAUUUCUUGUAAUUUUUUGUGUUUCUAAGACUUUUACAACUUGGUCCUACUAUUAAAUUCAUUAGUUUUUGAUUUCAUGGAUGAAAUUGAAAGUCACCAUGGUUGAUUACUGUAAGUUUAUGAUGAAAUAGAAUGAAAUUGAAGCUUUAAUUUGUUUAUGAGAUGAUUUUAUUAGGUAAUUUCAAUAGAAUUGAUUUUUAGGACCUAAUUAUGAAAAUGUUUGGAAUUAAAGUCUAGUACUAAAAUUAUGAUUUCCAAAGACUGUAAAGUAGUUUAAAGUGAUAGAAUAAAGUGUUAAUUGAGAAAAAUCAGCUCAAUUGAGAGGCUAAUUGAGUAGAGACGAAAUUAUCAUUUAUUAAAAGCCUAGGGGAAAAAUGGUAAUAAACAGCUUGCACUAAAACAGUUUUAGACAGCAGCAGUAGGUUAACUUUGAAAAAUCACCAUAAAUUAUAGAAAUUGAAUUAGAAGAUUAACAAAAUAUGGAAUUAAAUAUUAUUGAGUAUAGUUUCUCAUAGAAGAAACGGUGUAAGUAAUAGAAUUGUAAAUCAUGAGAUAUAAUAAAUUUUGUGAGACAAGGUCAGAAUGAAUUCGGGUUCCCCUGUUCUGACUUUGAAAAAUCAUAAAAAAAUUUAAAAAAUAAUUAAGGGCUUAAAUUUAUAUUUUUAGAAUCCUGAAUGAGUAUAUUUUCAAGGAAAACAAACAGGAACAUCAUCCAAAUCCUGUAUGAAGAGAUAAUUAAUUUUUAGUGAAGAAGGGUCAGAACUGUCAGACAGCAGAAUAGGGGUGACUUUAAAAAAUAAACUGUACUUAUCGGCUAAACUAAAAAUUCUGAAAAUUUUAUGGUAAGAAGAUAUGUGAGCCUAAUUUUAGGGAAAAUUAGCAGAUCCUAAUUUGGAGUUCUGUAGCUCAAGAUAAAAAUAAUUUAGUGACUGUGACUUAAGUAGACAGCUUUUGAUGAACUAUAAAUAACAGUGGAAUUAUAGAGAAUGUUGCAUAUGAACAUGAAAUUUAUUAAAUUGAUAAUUAAAUUUAUUUAUUUAGAUCCAGAAGAUUCAAAGACAAAGCUAGAUCGAGGAAAGAAAAAAGUUCGGGAUUAGUAGAUUUUUGUAUACGAACAAGUAUCGAGGUAAGUUCAUGUAACUUGAAUUAUAUUCUUAAAUGCUUGAAAUGUAUGUUAUUGAUGUGAAUAUGAUUUUAAUAUUCAUUGUAUGGAAAUCGAUGAAACAUUGAUAUAUUUGAUAAAAGGGGAAGAAAUCUCGGUUGAAUGAAAGGAAAAUUUGAUGGAUCUCUGAAAAGGAAUGACGAUAAAAAGGAUCUAGCCCGGACAGAUGAUCCUAUCUUGAUAUAGCCCUCCCGAAGAAUAUGUGUAAAAUGGAUUUAGCCUGUAUGGGUAAUUUGAAUCAGGGUCUGAAUUUAGCCAGGACUGGUAAUUCAGAUCCAAGCUCAUUAGAGUAAUUGUCGUUGCAGGGGAUUUAGCCUGGACUGAUAAUCCUGCUGUAAGGAUGAGGUUCGCGGGAGUGUGCUCUCUGAAAUGGAAAUGUGCGCACAUGAAUAUGAAUUGAUGGACCCAGAAAUGUACACUAAAAGUGUACCUCUAAAAAUCUAUCGAAAUUCUAAGAAAUUCAACGGGAUAAAUAUGGAAAAAUAUUAAAGGAAUGGAAAUCAUGGUAUUGAUGAGUUCAUCAAUCAUGGUAUAUAUUAUUGAUACAUGGAAAUUAUUGGACUAACUUGAAUGUUGAGUUUGUGCAUGUUAGGGUAAUAAUACAUUGAAUGUAUAUUUGAAUUUUUAUUGCAUUGUAUUGAAAAUAUUAGGUAAGUAUAAUUCUUGUUACAUGAGCUUACUAAGCAUAAGGUGCUUACCCUAUUUCCAUUUUUCCUGUUUUGUAGUUUUAAGAGCUCGGAGGUCAGAUUUGAUCGGAGACACAUCACACUAUCAACUUCAAGAUUUUGGUAUAUCAAGAAACUUUAUUUUGGAAAUCAAUGGCAUGUAUAAGCUAAUAAAGUAAAUGUUAAUGUGAAAUGAAUGUAAGGUCAGUCAUUGGUAUGGCUAACAAAUCUUGGUUUUGGUAUGUGAUGAGGUUAUCUUAUAAAAAUGCAUGAAUCUAUCUUGAAAAUAUGUUGAAUUGGAUCGGUUAAUAUGGAUUGGUCUCGGUUUAAAAUUACAGGGAAGGUUAGAUAUCUAUAAAGGGGCUAUAUUGAGUAAAAAAAAUUAAUUCGUAAACUCCGGUAAUACCUCGUACCCUAUUCCGGCAACGAAUAGGGGUAGGGGGUAUUACAUUUAUUGGUAUCAGAGCUAUGAGUUAACCGGUUCUAGGACCGAUGUAGUAAAUACGGGAUUAGCUAUACAUGCCAUUUAAAUUAUUAUUGAUAGCGUGAUAUCUCUUGACCAUUUAAAAUGUAUUUUUCUUAUAGUAAUGUCAUCCGACCGAACUCAAUCUGAGGAAGUUGGGAGUCAUGCUCUGGCUUCAGUACAAAGAGAAAAAACUAUCAGUAGAAGGCCCGAGACAGAAUGUAAUGAACCGAAAGUUACGGUAUCAGAAAUUGAGUCUUGAGUACUGUUUCCUUGAAAUUUAUUCAUGAAUAUUUAUUAGAAAUAUUUAUGAAUUAUAGUUGAAUGGUUAUUUAGUGUUUAAUUAAGUGAAGUAGCUUGAAUUUAGUUUAAAGGAUUAAAUUGCAUAAGGAAUAAAAGUUUAAUUAUAGAUUAAAGAAGUAAAAGGGACUAAUCUAACAAUUAGACCCUAAGUGCCAUGUGUGUGAAUGUAUGAUAUAACAUGUGUAAUAGUUGGUAUAUAUGUGUAAUAGCUAUAAGAUAUUUUAUGUUAUAGCUAUUACACAUGUUAAUUUUAUAUUUAUUAUAGGUUAAUAAUAUUAUAAUAUAGUAUAAAGAAUAAAGAAUAAUGAGUAAAGAAACAUAGAAAGAGUUACAGAGAGCAAACGUGAGAAAGAAAGAAAUAAAUAAAUAAAAAAGGGAAAUUUGAGGAUUAAGGCCCUAAAGCUUGAUUGGUAAGUUGUUUUAGCUCAUUUUCUUAUGAUUUUUAUGUUUAUGGAUGCCUAAUUCAAAGUUCUACAUGUAUGAGGUUAAAAUGAAGAAAAAUAGAAAAUUUUUAGAUAUUGAUUUAGUUGAAUAAAUUGAGGUUUUAUGGGUUAAAUUGAUAGGAAUUGAAGUUAGAAGUGAAAAUUGAGUGAUUUAUUAAAAGAAUUCUAAGUUAGGUUUAAAUAGGGAUUAAGUUGAAUAGAGCUCAAAAUUUAUGUUUUAUAAUGAAUUUUAUGAGUUAGAAAUUGUUAAUGAGUUGAUUAAAAGAGAAUAUGAAGCUUAAGUUAAAGAAAAAAAGAUUAGUAAUGGAAAAAUGACGAAAUUGGAAUUUUUGUAAAAGUUUGAUAGAAAGUGAAAAUGUGUUUUAUGAAUUAGUAUAUUGAUGAUUUUUAAUUGUAUGAUUGUUAGUAGCAAACGUAGCACCGGAUACGUCAUCAAAGAAGGGAAAAGAGAAAGUGAACGAAGA
RNAcentral lists this long non-coding RNA (13638 nucleotides) under Gossypium barbadense (sea-island cotton). Its description in RNAcentral is "long non-coding RNA (GBAR_LNC012145)". The record is from RNAcentral. Lineage: Eukaryota; Viridiplantae; Streptophyta; Magnoliopsida; Malvales; Malvaceae.